UACGUAGGCAGCAAGCGUUGUUCGGAAUUACUGGGCGUAAAGAGUGUGUAGGCGGUGCUCUAAGUUUGUCGUGAAAUCUCCCGGCUUAACUGGGAGGGUGCGGCGAAAACUGGAGUGCUAGAGGGUGGGAGAGGAAAGCGGAAUUCCUGGUGUAGCGGUGAAAUGCGUAGAUAUCAGGAGGAACACCUGCGGUGUAGACAGCUUUCUGGACCACUUCUGACGCUGAGACACGAGAGCGUGGGUAGCAAACAGG
This 253-nucleotide ribosomal RNA is filed under the name uncultured bacterium. RNAcentral's name for it is "partial 16S ribosomal RNA". It matches the Rfam family "Bacterial small subunit ribosomal RNA", at positions 524 to 776 of the family's 1533-position model. The record is from RNAcentral.